UGCCUACACAUGCNACUCGAACGGUAACAGGAAUAGCUUGCUAUUUGCUGACGAGUGGCGGACGGGUGAGUAAUGUAUAGGAACUUGCCUAGUAGGUGGGGGACAACUUAUGGAAACGUAAGCUAAUACCGCAUAAUCUCUACGGAGGAAAGUGGGGGACCUUUCGGGGCCUCACGCUAUUAGAUAGGCCUAUAUCAGAUUAGCUAGUUGGUGAGGUAAUGGCUCACCAAGGCGACGAUCUGUAGCUGGUUUGAGAGAAUGAUCAGCCACACUGGGACUGAGACACGGCCCAGACUCCUACGGGAGGCAGCAGUGGGGAAUAUUGCACAAUGGAGGAAACUCUGAUGCAGCAAUGCCGCGUGUGUGAAGAAGGCCUUAGGGUUGUAAAGCACUUUCAAUAGGGAGGAAAAGUUAGUAGUUAAUAACUGCUAGCCGUGACGUUACCUAUAGAAGAAGGACCGGCUAACUCCGUGCCAGCAGCCGCGGUAAUACGGAGGGUCCGAGCGUUAAUCGGAAUUACUGGGCGUAAAGCGCGCGCAGGCGGUUUACUCAGUCAGAUGUGAAAGCCCCGGGCUCAACCUGGGAACUGCAUUUGAUACUGGUAGGCUAGAGUAUGGUAGAGGUGAGUGGAAUUUCAGGUGUAGCGGUGAAAUGCGUAGAGAUCUGAAGGAACAUCAGUGGUGAAGGCGACUCACUGGGCCAUUACUGACGCUGAGGUGCGAAAGCGUGGGUAGCAAACAGGAUUAGAUACCCUGGUAGUCCACGCCCUAAACGAUG
Molecule: ribosomal RNA, 777 nt
Filed under: uncultured bacterium
Lineage: Bacteria
Description: bacterial SSU rRNA
Rfam family: Bacterial small subunit ribosomal RNA
Source: RNAcentral